This is an RNA transcript of Calypte anna (Anna's hummingbird), 480 nucleotides long. RefSeq lists it as uncharacterized. NCBI's taxonomy places the organism in Eukaryota, Metazoa, Chordata, Aves, Apodiformes, Trochilidae. The transcript has 2 exons. The record is from RefSeq and is a predicted model, not a curated record.
UAGGGACGAGUACCGGUGUCGUGACAGCGUCUGUGUCGCGAUAAGCGCGAAGCUAUGGCGUUCUGGGAUCUGCAGCGCGAGCUGGGCAUCGCUGUGGAGCGGUGGCUGCUGCGGCUGAGCAUUCCGCAGCCCUAGGGCAAGCGCGGGGCCUCUCACGCCUUCGAGCGGGAGUGGUGGGGGUGCGGGCACGGCCUGGGCCAGACCCGCGAGUGCCAACCCCAGUGCGAGGACUUCAUGGAGUUCAUGCACCGCACCGAGACGAACCAUCCUGGAGCAGAGGGACAAGAUGAUCAAGGAAGGGAAGUACACACCCCCUGACUACCACAGAGGCAAAGAGGAGCCACAGCUGUGACCUGCUGGGGACCUGGACAUCGGGGAAGAAGACCCAGGAACUGUGUGACACCAGCGUGGGGGGUGCUGAAGGGGGGAGACCCCAUGCUGGGCAUGGUUUGGGGCAGUAAAUGUUUCCUUUGGAACAGC